UUUCCGUAGGUGAACCUGCGGAAGGAUCAUUCAUAAUAGGUGUUUUAUGGCACUUUUUUAAAUCCAUAUCCACCUUGUGUGCAAUGUCAGGGUUGGUCUCUUUUGAUCAGCCCCAAACAUCAACUAUUAUCUCAACUCUUUGUCUGAAAAACAUUAUGAAUAAAACAAUUCAAAAUACAACUUUCAACAACGGAUCUCUUGGCUCUC
This 207-nucleotide unclassified non-coding RNA is filed under the name plant metagenome. RNAcentral describes it as "partial contains small subunit ribosomal RNA, internal transcribed spacer 1, and 5.8S ribosomal RNA". The record is from RNAcentral.